CUGGUGUGCCUUGUCAUGUGUGUGCUUCCGGAGGUGGCUGUGCUUCUGUAUACAGUCCAGUUCUGUAUAGAGUUCAGUAAUACAGGAUCUUUAUUCCAAACCCAGGAUAUUCAGAAGCAGGUGUAAAAGCAGCAGUGAUGUUGCUGAUACUUUUCAAGAUACUGAGGCCUCUCUUCUGAUCUUUGGACUUCCUUCCACUUCAACUUAUAUGACAGCAAUUCAGGUGAUGGUCUCUGAUGCUUCCUCCCCUUGCUUUGAGACCUUGUUCUCUGCUAUUGAUAUAAAAUGGAAAUAUAUACUACAAGCGGGAAGCUGACAUUGCUGGUGAGAACAGAAAUAAACCC
RNAcentral lists this long non-coding RNA (344 nucleotides) under Capra hircus (goat). Its description in RNAcentral is "lncRNA (ENSCHIG00000006259.1)". The record is from RNAcentral. Lineage: Eukaryota; Metazoa; Chordata; Mammalia; Artiodactyla; Bovidae.